AUUGAACGCUGGCGGCAGGCUUAACACAUGCAAGUCGAGCGAGCGGCGGACGGGUGAGUAAUGUCUGGGAAACUGCCUGAUGGAGGGGGAUAACUACUGGAAACGGUAGCUAAUACCGCAUACCAUCAGAUGUGCCCAGAUGGGAUUAGCUAGUAGGUGGGGUAAUGGCUCACCUAGGCGACGAUCCCUAGCUGGUCUGAGAGGAUGACCAGCCACACUGGGACGUCGACACGGUCCAGACUCCUACGGGAGGCAGCAGUGGGGAAUAUUGUGCAAUGGGCGCAAGCCUGAUGCAGCCCGGCCGCGUGUGUGAAGAAGGCCUUCGGGUUGUAAAGCACUUUUAGCGAGGAGUCGUUACUCGCAGAAGAGGCACCGGCGAACUCCGUGCCAGCAGCCGCGGUGAAUC
RNAcentral lists this ribosomal RNA (406 nucleotides) under uncultured bacterium. RNAcentral's name for it is "partial 16S ribosomal RNA". It matches the Rfam family "Bacterial small subunit ribosomal RNA", at positions 30 to 526 of the family's 1533-position model. The record is from RNAcentral.